Molecule: transfer RNA, 63 nt
Filed under: Diplonychus rusticus
Lineage: Eukaryota; Metazoa; Arthropoda; Insecta; Hemiptera; Belostomatidae
Also listed under: 1 other name
Description: tRNA-Ala
Rfam family: tRNA
About the family: Transfer RNA (tRNA) molecules are approximately 80 nucleotides in length. Their secondary structure includes four short double-helical elements and three loops (D, anti-codon, and T loops).
Source: RNAcentral
GGGGUUGUAGUUAAAAAUAACAUUUAAUUUGCAAUUAAAAAGUACUUAUAUUAGUCUUCCUCA